RNAcentral lists this ribosomal RNA (492 nucleotides) under uncultured bacterium. RNAcentral's name for it is "partial 16S ribosomal RNA". It matches the Rfam family "Bacterial small subunit ribosomal RNA", at positions 29 to 507 of the family's 1533-position model. The record is from RNAcentral.
AGUGAACGCUGGCGGUAGGCCUAACACAUGCCAGUCGAACGGCAGCACAGUAAGAGCUUGCUCUUACGGGUGGCGAGUGGCGGACGGGUGAGGAAUACAUCGGAAUCUACUUUUUCGUGGGGGAUAACGUAGGGAAACUUACGCUAAUACCGCAUACGACCUACGGGUGAAAGCAGGGGAUCUUCGGACCUUGCGCGAUUGAAUGAGCCGAUGUCGGAUUAGCUAGUUGGCGGGGUAAAGGCCCACCAAGGCGACGAUCCGUAGCUGGUCUGAGAGGAUGAGCGGCAACACUGGGAGUGAGACAAGGUCCAGACUAGUGAGGGAGGCAGCAGUGGGGAAUAUUGGCCAAUGGGCGGAGGGUGGAUCCAGCUAUACGGCGUGGGUGAAGAAGGACUUCGGGUGGUAAAGCUCUUUUGUUGGGAAAGAAAAGCAGCAGGUUAAUAACCCGCUGUUCUGACGGUACCCAAAGAAUAAGGCCCGGAUAAAUUCGUG